CCCUUAGAUGUCCUGGGCCGCACGCGCGCUAUACUGACACAUUCAACAAGUUCUAUCCUGGCCCGGAAGGGUUUCGGGUAAUCUUGAUAGUAUGUGUCGUGCUAGGGAUCGAUCUUUGGAAUUAUAGAUCUUGAACGAAGAAUUCCUAGUAAGUGCAAGUCAUCAGCUUGUACUGAUUACGUCCCUGCCCUUUGUACACACCGCCCGUCGCUCCUACCGAUUUCGAGUGAUCCGGUGAACCUUCUGGACUGCGGUAGCAUCAAGCUAUUGCGGGAAGUUAAGUAAACCACGUCACUUAGAGGAAGGAGAAGUCGUAACA
This 319-nucleotide ribosomal RNA is filed under the name uncultured eukaryote. Its description in RNAcentral is "partial 18S ribosomal RNA". It matches the Rfam family "Eukaryotic small subunit ribosomal RNA", at positions 1470 to 1796 of the family's 1831-position model. The record is from RNAcentral.